RNAcentral lists this ribosomal RNA (1226 nucleotides) under uncultured bacterium. Its description in RNAcentral is "bacterial SSU rRNA". It matches the Rfam family "Bacterial small subunit ribosomal RNA", at positions 8 to 1201 of the family's 1533-position model. The record is from RNAcentral.
AGAGUUUGAUCAUGGCUCAGAUUGAACGCUGGCGGCAGGCCUAACACAUGCAAGUCGAACGGUAACAGGAAAUGCUUGCAUUUCGCUGACGAGUGGCGGACGGGUGAGUAAUGCUUGGGAAUUUGCCUUUGCGAGGGGGAUAACAGUUGGAAACGACUGCUAAUACCGCAUAAUGUCUACGGACCAAAGGGGGGAGCUUGCUCCUCUCACGUGAAGAGAAGCCCAAGUGAGAUUAGCUAGUUGGUGAGGUAAAGGCUCACCAAGGCGACGAUCUCUAGCUGUUCUGAGAGGAAGAUCAGCCACACUGGGACUGAGACACGGCCCAGACUCCUACGGGAGGCAGCAGUGGGGAAUAUUGCACAAUGGGGGAAACCCUGAUGCAGCCAUGCCGCGUGUGUGAAGAAGGCCUUCGGGUUGUAAAGCACUUUCAGUUGUGAGGAAAGGUUAGUAGUUAAUACCUGCUAGCUGUGACGUUAGCAACAGAAGAAGCACCGGCUAACUCCGUGCCAGCAGCCGCGGUAAUACGGAGGGUGCGAGCGUUAAUCGGAAUUACUGGGCGUAAAGCGCACGCAGGCGGUCUGUUAAGCUAGAUGUGAAAGCCCCGCGCUCAACGUGGGAUGGUCAUUUAGAACUGGCAGACUAGAGUUUUGGAGAGGGGAGUGGAAUUCCAGGUGUAGCGGUGAAAUGCGUAGAUAUCUGGAGGAACAUCAGUGGCGAAGGCGACUCUCUGGCCAAAGACUGACGCUCAUGUGCGAAAGUGUGGGUAGCGAACAGGAUUAGAUACCCUGGUAGUCCACACCGUAAACGAUGUCUACUAGCUAUGUGUGAAUUUAAUUCGUGCGUAGCGCAGCAAACGCGCUAAGUAGACCGCCUGGGGAGUACGGCCGCAAGGUUAAAACUCAAAUGAAUUGACGGGGGCCCCCACAACCGGUGGAACAUGUGGUUUAAUUCCAUGCAACCCCGAAGAACCUUUCCUACCACUUGACAUUGUUGGAGAAAUUACUAAAAAAAAAUUUUCUUGCCUUCCGGGAAAUCAAAACUCAAGGGGCUGCCAUGGGCUGUCUUCACAUCCCUGUCCUGGAGAAGUUUGUGUUUAUUCCUCCCACCCAGACGCAAACCCUCUGUCCUUUUUUUUUCCCCCACUUAAAUUUUGGGCACUUUUUAAGGAGACUGCCCCGGUGCCUAACCCCCCAAAGGAUAGUGUGGGAGUCACACCCUCAAAUCUC